UGGGGGAUAUUGCGCAAUGGGGGCAACCCUGACGCAGCAACGCCGCGUGAAGGAUGAAGGUUUUCGGAUUGUAAACUUCUUUUAUUAAGGACGAAACUUGACGGUACUUAAUGAAUAAGCUCCGGCUAACUACGUGCCAGCAGCCGCGGUAAAACGUAGGGUGCAAGCGUUGUCCGGAAUUACUGGGUGUAAAGGGAGCGCAGGCGGACCGGCAAGUUGGAAGUGAAAUCCAUGGGCUCAACCCGUGAAUUGCUUUCAAAACUGCUGGCCUUGAGUAGUGCAGAGGUAGGUGGAAUUCCCGGUGUAGCGGUGGAAUGCGUAGAUAUCGGGAGGAACACCAGUGGCGAAGGCGACCUACUGGGCACCAACUGACGCUGAGGCUCGAAAGCAUGGGUAGCAAACAGGAUUAGAUACCCUGGUAGUCCAUGCCGUAAACGAUGAUUACUAGGUGUUGGAGGAUUGACCCCUUCAGUGCCGCAGUUAACACAAUAAGUAAUCCACCUGGGGAGUACGACCGCAAGGUUGAAACUCAAAGGAAUUGACGGGGGCCCGCACAAGCAGUGGAGUAUGUGGUUUAAUUCGAAGCAACGCGAAGAACCUUACCAGGUCUUGACAUCCGAUGCAUAGUGCAGAGAUGCAUGAAGUCCUUCGGGACAUCGAGACAGGUGGUGCAUGGUUGUCGUCAGCUCGUGUCGUGAGAUGUUGGGUUAAGUCCCGCAACGAGCGCAACCCUUAUUGCCAGUUACUACGCAAGAGGACUCUGGCGAGACUGCCGUUGACAAAACGGAGGAAGGUGGGGAUGACGUCAAAUCAUCAUGCCCUUUAUGACCUGGGCUACACACGUACUACAAUGGCGUUUAACAAAGAGAAGCAAGACCGCGAGGUGGAGCAAAACUCAGAAACAACGUCUCAGUUCAGAUUGCAGGCUGCAACUCGCCUGCAUGAAGUCGGAAUUGCUAGUAAUCGCGGAUCAGCAUGCCGCGGUGAAUACGUUCCC
This 997-nucleotide ribosomal RNA is filed under the name uncultured bacterium. RNAcentral describes it as "bacterial SSU rRNA". It matches the Rfam family "Bacterial small subunit ribosomal RNA", at positions 355 to 1375 of the family's 1533-position model. The record is from RNAcentral.